AGGGAUGAAAAUGCAUCAAAACUGAAUAUUUCUAUGAUUUUUUAAAAUGUUUGAAUGCAUAGCCUAAGGCCAGAGAUGCAGACUACAUUGACUACAAUGUAAACUGUCUGUUUUUACCUCCGAAUACAGCUGUCAAUAAGCUCUUUUACACAAUGAAUGUUCACUCUUUCAGGCAAAUAGAUUAUUCCAUUAGUCAAAUUGAUCACAAAUGGGUUAGCGGGUCGACUGUGUUUGGCCAAACAACAGAGUAGAUAAAAGUGAAUGCAAUCUGCAUUGUGUUGUGGUAAACUGCUCUCUCAAAUUAUACCAUAUUUUAGUUAAACAUAUUUCUUAGUUUUGGAACAUUGUGUUGAUUGAGAUUUGUUAUUAACUGUACUGUGUUACCUUUGUCUGGUGCCCAUAUCUGUUUAUUCAAAGCCGACAUCUGCUGUCGUUUCACUGAUGUGUUCUGUCGUUUCCUGCUGUUUUCCCCUGCAGUUGCCUGCGUCUGUCUAUCACUUCUGUCAUCUGAGUCCAUCUAACAUCCCAUGUGUUUUUCUAUCCCUUUUAUCUUUCAGAUCGCAUAUAACUUGGAGCAUUUGCACUUGUCCAUAACUCAUGUCAAACGGAGAAGACUCAAGUUGCCAGUCCGCAUUACAUCACUGGCCUGGUCCCGAAUGUUACUGUCUCUCUACAGGUACUGUCUGUUGACUCGACAGUGCUGCACUGUAUGUCCAUCACCUGCAAGGAGUGAAACUUCGACGUACGAGACGAAUUCUGACAGCCGACACCUAACAUGUUCUGACUGGUCCUGGACUCGUGGUUAUCUGUUUGCAACAUAUCUCUAUGGCAUGAAGAAGGCGGCAUGUACGCACAGCCGACAGCUUAAGGAAAGGGUUCGUUAGAAUAAAUCAGUGAAAGAUGAAUGUGAAUGAGCUCCACUGAAGGGGUCAAUAAUGUUAAUUACAUUGGGAACAAGCAGAAAUAAGAGUGCUAUCUUCAGACUCAAUCUGCCUUGAAGCCAUGACAGCUGGUGGUGCAGGGUUGUUUCUUGCCAAGUCACAGGUUUGAUUCACACAAAGAAUCAGUCCGUAUAUAUCCUUGUUAAAGUGUCCCGGGGCAAGAC
Molecule: long non-coding RNA, 1105 nt
Filed under: Sparus aurata (gilthead seabream)
Lineage: Eukaryota; Metazoa; Chordata; Actinopteri; Spariformes; Sparidae
Description: lncRNA (ENSSAUG00010008461.1)
Source: RNAcentral